This 79-nucleotide ribosomal RNA is filed under the name uncultured bacterium. RNAcentral describes it as "partial 16S ribosomal RNA". The record is from RNAcentral.
AACGACCACUGGAGGACCGGGUGUACCUAAAGUCGGUAACCGCAAGGAGCUGCCUAGGGUAAAAUCGGUGACUGGGGCU